GGUUAAGUGACUAAGCGUACAUGGUGGAUGCCUUGGCAGUCAGAGGCGAUGAAGGACGUACUAACCUGCGAUAAGCUGUGAGAAGUCGGUAAGAGACGCUAUUACUCACAGAUUUCCGAAUGGGGAAACCCACCCGAGAUAACUCGGGUAUCUGUUACUGAAUACAUAGGUAACAGAGGCGAACCGGGAGAACUGAAACAUCUAAGUACCCCGAGGAAAAGAAAUCAACCGAGAUUCCCUCAGUAGCGGCGAGCGAACGGGGAUUAGCCCUUAAGCAUCUUGGAAGUUAGUGGAACGGUCCUGGAAAGGCCGGCGAUACAGGGUGAUAGCCCCGUAAACGAAAACAACCUUGAUGUGAAAUCGAGUAGGGCGGGACACGUGACAUCCUGUCUGAAUAUGGGGGGACCAUCCUCCAAGGCUAAAUACUCCUGACUGACCGAUAGUGAACCAGUACCGUGAGGGAAAGGCGAAAAGAACCCCUGUGAGGGGAGUGAAAUAGAACCUGAAACCGUGUACGUACAAGCAGUGGGAGCCCUUCGGGGUGACUGCGUACCUUUUGUAUAAUGGGUCAGCGACUUACAUUUUGUAGCGAGGUUAACCGUAUAGGGGAGCCGUAGGGAAACCGAGUCUUAACUGGGCGUCUAGUUGCAAGGUGUAGACCCGAAACCGGGUGAUCUAGCCAUGGGCAGGUUGAAGGUUGAGUAACAUCAACUGGAGGACCGAACCCACUAACGUUGCAAAGUUAGGGGAUGACCUGUGGCUGGGGGUGAAAGGCCAAUCAAACUCGGAGAUAGCUGGUUCUCCCCGAAAGCUAUUUAGGUAGCGCCUCGGACGAAUACUACUGGGGGUAGAGCACUGUUUGGGCUAGGGGGUCAUCCCGACUUACCAACCCCAUGCAAACUCCGAAUACCAGUAAGUAAUAUCCGGGAGACACACGGCGGGUGCUAACGUCCGUCGUGAAGAGGGAAACAACCCAGACCGCCGGCUAAGGUCCCAAAGUUCUGGUUAAGUGGGAAACGAUGUGGGAAGGCUCAGACAGCUAGGAUGUUGGCUUAGAAGCAGCCAUCAUUUAAAGAAAGCGUAAUAGCUCACUAGUCGAGUCGGCCUGCGCGGAAGAUGUAACGGGGCUCAAACCAGGCACCGAAGCCGCGGAUUCACACUUAUGUGUGAGUGGUAGGGGAGCGUUCUGUAAGUCUGCGAAGGUGUAUCGAGAGGUAUGCUGGAGAUAUCAGAAGUGCGAAUGCUGACGUAAGUAACGAUAAAGGGGGUGAAAAGCCUCCUCGCCGGAAGACCAAGGGUUCCUGUCCAACGUUAAUCGGGGCAGGGUGAGUCGACCCCUAAGGCGAGGCCGAAAGGCGUAGUCGAUGGGAAGCAGGUUAAUAUUCCUGCACGACUUGUAAUUGCGAUGGGGGACGAAGAAGGCUAGGUGGGCCAGGCGACGGUUGUCCUGGUGAAAGUGCGUAGGUGGUGUUUCUAGGCAAAUCCGGAGACACAACACUGAGACACGAGACGAACACACUACGGUGUGGAAGCCAUUGAUGCCCUGCUUCCAGGAAAAGCCUCUAAGCUUCAGAUUACAAGUCAUCGUACCCCAAACCGACACAGGUGGUCGGGUAGAGAAUACCAAGGCGCUUGAGAGAACUCGGGUGAAGGAACUAGGCAAAAUAGAACCGUAACUUCGGGAGAAGGUUCGCUCCUGACAGUGAAGUCCCUUGCGGAUGGAGCAGUUGGGAGUCGCAGUGACCAGAUGGCUGGGACUGUUUAUCAAAAACACAGCACUCUGCAAACACGAAAGUGGACGUAUAGGGUGUGACACCUGCCCGGUGCCGGAAGGUUAAUUGAUGGGUUAGCGCAAGCGAAGCUCUUGAUCGAAGCCCCGGUAAACGGCGGCCGUAACUAUAACGGUCCUAAGGUAGCGAAAUUCCUUGUCGGGUAAGUUCCGACCUGCACGAAUGGUGUAACCAUGGCCAUGCUGUCUCCACCCGAGACUCAGUGAAAUCGAAUUCGCCGUGAAGAUGCGGUGUACCCGCGGCUAGACGGAAAGACCCCGUGAACCUUUACUACAGCUUGGCACUGAACAUUGAACCUACAUGUGUAGGAUAGGUGGGAGGCUUUGAAGGCGUGACGCCAGUUGCGCUGGAGCCGUCCUUGAAAUACCACCCUUGUAUGUUUGAUGUUCUAACGCAGGGCCCUGAAUCGGGCUCGCGGACAGUGCCUGGUGGGUAGUUUGACUGGGGCGGUCUCCUCCCAAAGAGUAACGGAGGAGCACGAAGGUUGGCUAAUCCUGGUCGGACAUCAGGAGGUUAGUGCAAUGGCAUAAGCCAGCUUAACUGCGAGACGGACAGGUCGAGCAGGUACGAAAGUAGGUCAUAGUGAUCCGGUGGUUCUGAAUGGAAGGGCCAUCGCUCAACGGAUAAAAGGUACUCCGGGGAUAACAGGCUGAUACCGCCCAAGAGUUCAUAUCGACGGCGGUGUUUGGCACCUCGAUGUCGGCUCAUCACAUCCUGGGGCUGAAGUCGGUCCCAAGGGUAUGGCUGUUCGCCAUUUAAAGUGGUACGCGAGCUGGGUUCAGAACGUCGUGAGACAGUUCGGUCCCUAUCUGCCGUGGGCGUUGGAUGAUUGAAGGGAGUUGCUCCUAGUACGAGAGGACCGGAGUGAACGAACCUCUGGUGUUCGGGUUGUCACGCCAGUGGCACUGCCCGGUAGCUAAGUUCGGAAUCGAUAACCGCUGAAAGCAUCUAAGCGGGAAGCGAGCCCUGAGAUGAGUCAUCCCUGACCCCUUGAGGGUCCUAAAGGGCCGUUGGAGACCACAACGUUGAUAGGCGGGGUGUGUAAGUGCAGCGAUGCAUUGAGCUAACCCGUACUAAUUACCCGUGAGGCUUAACCAU
Molecule: ribosomal RNA, 2888 nt
Filed under: Aeromonas veronii
Lineage: Bacteria; Pseudomonadati; Pseudomonadota; Gammaproteobacteria; Aeromonadales; Aeromonadaceae
Description: 23S ribosomal RNA
Rfam family: Bacterial large subunit ribosomal RNA
Source: RNAcentral